RNAcentral lists this ribosomal RNA (517 nucleotides) under uncultured Alcaligenes sp. Its description in RNAcentral is "bacterial SSU rRNA". It matches the Rfam family "Bacterial small subunit ribosomal RNA", at positions 1 to 484 of the family's 1533-position model. Lineage: Bacteria; Pseudomonadati; Pseudomonadota; Betaproteobacteria; Burkholderiales; Alcaligenaceae. The record is from RNAcentral.
UGCAUCUAGAUUGCGGAUCCGCGGCCGCAGAGUUUGAUCCUGGCUCAGAUUGAACGCUAGCGGGAUGCUUUACACAUGCAAGUCGAACGGCAGCACGAGAGAGCUUGCUCUCUUGGUGGCGAGUGGCGGACGGGUGGGUAAUAUAUCGGAACGUGCCCAGUAGCGGGGGAUAACUACUCGAAAGAGUGGCUAAUACCGCAUACGCCCUACGGGGGAAAGGGGGGGAUUCUUCGGAACCUCUCACUAUUGGAGCGGCCGAUAUCGGAUUAGCUAGUUGGUGGGGUAAAGGCUCACCAAGGCAACGAUCCGUAGCUGGUUUGAGAGGACGACCAGCCACACUGGGACUGAGACACGGCCCAGACUCCUACGGGAGGCAGCAGUGGGGAAUUUUGGACAAUGGGGGAAACCCUGAUCCAGCCAUCCCGCGUGUAUGAUGAAGGCCUUCGGGUUGUAAAGUACUUUUGGCAGAGAAGAAAAGGUAUCUCCUAAUACGAGAUACUGCUGACGGUAUCUGCAG